CUCUCUGUGCCCGUGUCCUGGUGCCAAAAGCUGUGGGCACAGAAGGGGGAGGGUGUCUGAGCAAGAGACCACGCCCCCCCUCUAGCCUUAAAGGUGACUGACAGCCCCGGUGCUGGUAACAGUGCGUGCGAUUGUGAAACCGAGAGAUGGUUCCAGGCAGGGGAUGACCCAGUGCGCAAGGCGGGCCUCCAGGGCCAGCGCGCUCUCAGGCAGCUGGACCUGAACCUGCUAACACCUCCGUGGCCUGCCCUGGCAGAAAAGUCUUCCCACAUCUGGGAUGUCCUCUCGGAUUCUGGCCUCUUAAAACCACUCACGAAAAGGUAACUCCAGACUGACAACUGUGGGCUCUAGAGAAUGGGGGUUUGUGGAAGGUUUGCAAUGAGGGGAGUAACUGUGCAACAUCUUACACAAUCUCUUGCCUCUU
Molecule: non-coding RNA, 424 nt
Organism: Miniopterus natalensis
Lineage: Eukaryota; Metazoa; Chordata; Mammalia; Chiroptera; Miniopteridae
Source: RefSeq, a predicted model, not a curated record